This 468-nucleotide ribosomal RNA is filed under the name uncultured bacterium. RNAcentral describes it as "partial 16S ribosomal RNA". It matches the Rfam family "Bacterial small subunit ribosomal RNA", at positions 28 to 507 of the family's 1533-position model. The record is from RNAcentral.
GACGAACGUUGGCGGCGUGCUUAACACAUGCAAGUCGAACGGAAAGGCCCUGCUUUUGUGGGGUGCUCGAGUGGCGAACGGGUGAGUAACACGUGAGUAACCUGCCCUUGACUUUGGGAUAACUUCAGGAAACUGGGGCUAAUACCGGAUAGGAGCUCCUGCUGCAUGGUGGGGGCUGGAAAGUUUCGGCGGUUGGGGAUGGACUCGCGGCUUAUCAGCUUGUUGGUGGGGUAGUGGCUUACCAAGGCUUUGACGGGUAGCCGGCCUGAGAGGGUGACCGGCCACAUUGGGACUGAGAUACGGCCCAGACUCCUACGGGAGGCAGCAGUGGGGAAUAUUGCACAAUGGGCGGAAGCCUGAUGCAGCAACGCCGCGUGCGGGAUGACGGCCUUCGGGUUGUAAACCGCUUUCGCCUGUGACGAAGCGUGAGUGACGGUAAUGGGUAAAGAAGCACCGGCUAACUACGUG